ACAUUGAACCAAGAGACUGCUACGUUGUCACCAAGUCCUUUGUUCAAUCUUUUUUGCCCUUUGUUCAAUCUGAAGCCAACAAAUGAUGGAAAAUUAUAUAGAUGGUUCACAUGGUAUCUUGUGUUGCUCUCUACAGUUGGAUUUGUCUGGUUUGGCCAGAGACAAACAAAGUUUUGUCCACCAAGGCCUGCUAAAUUAUACGACAAGGUAGAGCACGAAUUCACCAAGUUUUGUAAAAUAUGUUUAUUAUUUCUGAAUUAUGUUAACUAAUUUUCUGUCUUUUUAAUGUAAUAUAUAGUAAUUUAAGUUCUUGUUUUGUUAUUUUGGAUUAUUUAAUAAUUUACAAAAAUUUGAUAUAAAAAACUAUAUUAAUGAUUAAGUACCUUUGAUAAGGGUUCUCUAGUGGAAAUGUAAUUUUAAGUAUAGUUGCUAAUAGAUUGAUUUGAUUAGUUUAAUAUUAGUUAUAUUAUUAGUUUAAUUUUAAGUACCCUUUAUGUGUUGCUCUAGUAAUGAUGGU
RNAcentral lists this long non-coding RNA (517 nucleotides) under Capsella grandiflora. RNAcentral's name for it is "long non-coding RNA (CGRA_LNC001422)". The record is from RNAcentral. Lineage: Eukaryota; Viridiplantae; Streptophyta; Magnoliopsida; Brassicales; Brassicaceae.